RNAcentral lists this non-coding RNA (27 nucleotides) under Drosophila erecta. The record is from RNAcentral. Lineage: Eukaryota; Metazoa; Arthropoda; Insecta; Diptera; Drosophilidae. RNAcentral also lists the same sequence under 22 other names.
UCCGUAGGUGAACCUGCGGAAGGAUCA